AGCAGUGGGGAAUAUUGCGCAAUGGGCGAAAGCCUGACGCAGCGACGCCGCGUGAGGGAUGAAGGUCUUCGGAUUGUAAACCUCUUUCAGCAGGGACGAAGCGAAAGUGACGGUACCUGAAGAAGAAGCACCGGCUAACUACGUGCCAGCAGCCGCGGUAAUACGUAGGGUGCAAGCGUUGUCCGGAUUUAUUGGGCGUAAAGAGCUCGUAGGCGGUUAGACACGUCGGAUGUGAAAACUGGGGGCUCAACCCCCAGCCUGCAUUCGAUACGGUCUGACUAGAGUGUGGUAGGGGUAACUGGAAUUCCUGGUGUAGCGGUGAAAUGCGCAGAUAUCAGGAGGAACACCGAUGGCGAAGGCAGGUUACUGGGCCACCACUGACGCUGAGGAGCGAAAGCGUGGGGAGCAAACAGGAUUAGAUACCCUGGUAGUCCACGCCGUAAACGGUGGGCGCUAGAUGUGGGGACCAUUCCAUGGUUUCUGCGUCGCAGCUAACGCA
Molecule: ribosomal RNA, 499 nt
Filed under: uncultured bacterium
Lineage: Bacteria
Description: bacterial SSU rRNA
Rfam family: Bacterial small subunit ribosomal RNA
Source: RNAcentral